This 1045-nucleotide ribosomal RNA is filed under the name Pezizomycotina sp. 1 HRM-2013. RNAcentral's name for it is "SSU rRNA". It matches the Rfam family "Eukaryotic small subunit ribosomal RNA", at positions 37 to 1093 of the family's 1831-position model. Lineage: Eukaryota; Fungi; Ascomycota. The record is from RNAcentral.
UCAAAGAUUAAGCCAUGCAUGUCUAAGUAUAAGCAAUUAUACAGCGAAACUGCGAAUGGCUCAUUAAAUCAGUUAUCGUUUAUUUGAUAGUACCUUACUACAUGGAUAACCGUGGUAAUUCUAGAGCUAAUACAUGCUGAAAACCCCGACUUCGGAAGGGGUGUAUUUAUUAGAUUAAAAACCAAUGCCCUUCGGGGCUCACUGGUGAUUCAUGAUAACUUCUCGAAUCGCAUGGCCUUGUGCCGGCGAUGGUUCAUUCAAAUUUCUGCCCUAUCAACUUUCGACGGCUGGGUCUUGGCCAGCCGUGGUGACAACGGGUAACGGAGGGUUAGGGCUCGACCCCGGAGAAAACGCCUGAGAAACGGCGUUUACAUCCAAGGAAGGCAGCAGGCGCGCAAAUUACCCAAUGCCGACACGGCGAGGUAGUGACGAGAAAUACUGAUACAGGGCUCUUUUGGGUCUUGUAAUUGGAAUGAGUACAAUUUAAAUCUCUUAACGAGGAACAAUUGGAGGGCAAGUCUGGUGCCAGCAGCCGCGGUAAUUCCAGCUCCAAUAGCGUAUAUUAAAGUUGUUGCAGUUAAAAAGCUCGUAGUUGAACCUUGGGCCUGGCUGGCCGGUCCGCCUCACCGCGUGCACUGGUCCGGCCGGGCCUUUCCCUCUGGGGAGCCCCAUGCCCUUCACUGGGCGUGGCGGGGAACCAGGACUUUUACUUUGAAAAAAUUAGAGUGUUCAAAGCAGGCAUAUGCUCGAAUACAUUAGCAUGGAAUAAUAGAAUAGGACGUGUGGUUCUAUUUUGUUGGUUUCUAGGACCGCCGUAAUGAUUAAUAGGGACAGUCGGGGGCGUCAGUAUUCAAUUGUCAGAGGUGAAAUUCUUGGAUUUAUUGAAGACUAACUACUGCGAAAGCAUUCGUCAAGGAUGUUUUCAUUAAUCAGGAACGAAAGUUAGGGGAUCGAAAACGAUCAGAUACCGUUGUAGUCUUAACCAUAAACUAUGCCGACUAGGGAUCGGGCGGUGUUAUUUUUUGACCCGCUCGGCACCUUACAC